Molecule: ribosomal RNA, 498 nt
Filed under: uncultured bacterium
Lineage: Bacteria
Description: partial 16S ribosomal RNA
Rfam family: Bacterial small subunit ribosomal RNA
Source: RNAcentral
GACGAACGCUGGCGGCGUGCCUAAUACAUGCAAGUCGAACGAGAGCGACCGGUGCUUGCACUGGUCAAUCUAGUGGCGAACGGGUGAGUAACACGUGGGUAACCUGCCCAUCAGAGGGGGAUAACAUCCGGAAACGGAUGCUAAAACCGCAUAGGUCUUCGAACCGCAUGGUUUGAAGAGGAAAAGAGGCGCAAGCUUCUGCUGAUGGAUGGACCCGCGGUGCAUUAGCUAGUUGGUGAGGUAACGGCUCACCAAGGCCGUGAUGCAUAGCCGACCUGAGAGGGUGAUCGGCCACAUUGGGACUGAGACACGGCCCAAACUCCUACGGGAGGCAGCAGUAGGGAAUCUUCCGCAAUGGACGCAAGUCUGACGGAGCAACGCCGCGUGAGUGAAGAAGGCUUUCGGAUCGUAAAACUCUGUUGUUAGAGAAGAACAAGUGCUAGAGUAACUGUUAGCGCCUUGACGGUAUCUAACCAGAAAGCCACGGCUAACUACGUG